This 821-nucleotide ribosomal RNA is filed under the name unidentified microorganism. Its description in RNAcentral is "bacterial SSU rRNA". It matches the Rfam family "Bacterial small subunit ribosomal RNA", at positions 51 to 868 of the family's 1533-position model. The record is from RNAcentral.
ACACAUGCAGUCGAGCGGUAGAGAGAAGCUUGCUUCUCUUGAGAGCGGCGGACGGGUGAGUAAUGCCUAGGAAUCUGCCUGGUAGUGGGGGAUAACGUUCGGAAACGGACGCUAAUACCGCAUACGUCCUACGGGAGAAAGCAGGGGACCUUCGGGCCUUGCGCUAUCAGAUGAGCCUAGGUCGGAUUAGCUAGUUGGUGAGGUAAUGGCUCACCAAGGCGACGAUCCGUAACUGGUCUGAGAGGAUGAUCAGUCACACUGGAACUGAGACACGGUCCAGACUCCUACGGGAGGCAGCAGUGGGGAAUAUUGGACAAUGGGCGAAAGCCUGAUCCAGCCAUGCCGCGUGUGUGAAGAAGGUCUUCGGAUUGUAAAGCACUUUAAGUUGGGAGGAAGGGCANUAANUUAAUACUUUGNUGUUUUGACGUUACCGACAGAAUAAGCACCGGCUAACUCUGUGCCAGCAGCCGCGGUAAUACAGAGGGUGCAAGCGUUAAUCGGAAUUACUGGGCGUAAAGCGCGCGUAGGUGGUUUGUUAAGUUGGAUGUGAAAUCCCCGGGCUCAACCUGGGAACUGCAUUCAAAACUGACUGACUAGAGUAUGGUAGAGGGUGGUGGAAUUUCCUGUGUAGCGGUGAAAUGCGUAGAUAUAGGAAGGAACACCAGUGGCGAAGGCGACCACCUGGACUAAUACUGACACUGAGGUGCGAAAGCGUGGGGAGCAAACAGGAUUAGAUACCCUGGUAGUCCACGCCGUAAACGAUGUCAACUAGCCGUUGGAAGCCUUGAGCUUUUAGUGGCGCAGCUAACGCAUUAAGUUGA